RNAcentral lists this long non-coding RNA (884 nucleotides) under Ornithorhynchus anatinus (platypus). Its description in RNAcentral is "lncRNA (ENSOANG00000034641.2)". The record is from RNAcentral. Lineage: Eukaryota; Metazoa; Chordata; Mammalia; Monotremata; Ornithorhynchidae.
GAGGGGUGGGAGCAGUUACAGAUCCACCCGAGGAGGCCUUGGGCCUAACUCGUGCCGGGCCUUCAGGGGGCUGUUUGCAGUUGCAGGUGGCUUUCGAGGAGGUGGCCGUCUAUUUCUGUGAGGAGGAGUGGAGGGUACUGUCGGCCAGGCAGCAGCGGCUUUACAAGGAUGUGAUGAGGGACAACUACAGGGCCCUGCGCUCUCUAGGUUGGGCUGAGACCAAGCCAGACCUCGUGUUCCAGAUUGAGCGAGGGGAAGAGCCGUGGGCCCGGGCUGCCCUGAGCUCAAGGGCAGGAGCAAAGUGGAAAUACUUCUCUCCAGGCUCUGAGGCCACCUCCUUGCCCACAUUCUCCUCAACUUCAUUGGAGCCCUCGUCUGACAACCCACUUCUACCAGGCUUCCUCCAGCUGCACCACACUUCUUCCAGCUGCCCAUGGGCCCAGGAGGCAGAGCUGCAGUGCCAAGAAGAGCGAGGAAGCACCAGUAAGGAGGCAGAAGGAGAAGAGAGCCUCCCCUUGGACAGGACUGUUCCGGAUGGGACAGGGCCCAGGAACAAGGACACUGGGGACAAGCUGUCUUUGUCUGGAGCUUCCCAGGCUUCAGCCCUAGAAGCUGAGCAGAAAGAACCCUUGACUUAUGGCCCAGGCGGCUCAGGGUCCUGCGGAGGGCUUGGAACAGACUUGACCCCUGAGCCCGCACUCCAGAGAGCAGAGGGCCCGGAACUUCCAGCGCUCCAACGGCAGGCUCAGAGCCUGAAGGAGAAUAUUGGCAGCAUAGUCCAGGAGCUGAGGACAGCGAGACUCCACCUGGCUAGCAUAAGGAAUGCCCUGCUGAUAUGGUCUUCCCAGUUCCUCUCCCUUCCUAUAAAUGCUCCGGACCCGUAA